This 805-nucleotide long non-coding RNA is filed under the name Pan troglodytes (chimpanzee). RNAcentral describes it as "lncRNA (ENSPTRG00000054320.1)". Lineage: Eukaryota; Metazoa; Chordata; Mammalia; Primates; Hominidae. The record is from RNAcentral.
AGCGCCACUUCUGAAAGAAAGGCUCACGACAACUGGCUCUGUGUUUAAGCCUCGCAGAGGGAGAUGCAAGAGAAGAAGGCUGCCUACAAGCAGCACAGAUAGGAAAUGAUUGAAAAACAGAGAGUGCUGGAGAGACACAUUAGUCAGGAGCCAGCUAGUGGACAACCAGGCAUAGAGAAUCAUCCCCAAAGAGGUCAAUAUGGCUUUGGGAGGGCCCCUUUUUCAGGAUUGCCCUACUUGCUCUACUGCAUGGCUGGCUCUUCAGGACCAUUUGUGGGCUGCCAGACACCUCCUCUGCCUGGGUGGCCUCUGGGAACACGACCACUGCCUCCAUGCACACCACUUGGACAAGCUGAAAUUUGAAGAGGCCCCUGAGCUCUGACAGCCAUGCUGUGGCUCCUACAUAACUUGGAAAAGUAUCCAAUACAUUUUACGCUGCCUGCCCAGUGCUGCCUCAUCUGUCUCUAAUCUUCUGUAGUGUUUCCCCUAAUAAAGGUUUGCAGUCCUAUCUGUUUGGGCGUCUGUUUUCUGGAGGACCAGAUGACCCCCCGGUGUACCAGGUAUGAUUCCUCAUACACUGUUCAAACCCAGGCAGAUAUUGCAGUGCUGGCUGCAGAAGCAGGGUUGCCCUUUGGGUAGUGUCGACUGGGAGGGCCCCAAGGGGGCUUUCUGGGGUGGGGAAAUAUCCCGUAUCAAGCCAUGAGUGGAGAUUGUGCUCAUUCAUUUUAGAAAUAGUCAUCGGGCACCUGAUGCCUGCCAGUCACAGGGGUUCCUUGUGAUAAGAUGGACAGGAAUGUAUCCCCAU